Molecule: ribosomal RNA, 450 nt
Filed under: uncultured bacterium
Lineage: Bacteria
Description: bacterial SSU rRNA
Rfam family: Bacterial small subunit ribosomal RNA
Source: RNAcentral
UGCCAGACUCCUACGGGAGGCAGCAGUGGGGGAUAUUGCACAAUGGGGGAAACCCUGAUGCAGCGACGCCGCGUGAGUGAAGAAGUACUUCGGUAUGUAAAGCUCUAUCAGCAGGGAAGAAGAUGGACGGUACCUGAGUAAGAAGCCCCGGCUAACUACGUGCCAGCAGCCGCGGUAAUACGGAGGGUGCAAGCGUUGUCCGGAAUUACUGGGCGUAAAGGGCGCGUAGGUGGGCGCUUAAGUCAGGUGUGAAAACUCCGGGCUCAACCUGGAGACUGCACUUGAAACUGGGUGUCUUGAGGGCAGGAGAGGCAAGUGGAAUUCCUAGUGUAGCGGUGAAAUGCGUAGAUAUUAGGAGGAACACCAGUGGCGAAGGCGGCUUGCUGGACUGUAACUGACGUUGAGGCUCGAAAGCGUGGGGAGCAAACAGGAUUAGAUACCCCUGUAACA